This is a long non-coding RNA of Vitis riparia (riverbank grape), 346 nucleotides long. RefSeq lists it as uncharacterized. NCBI's taxonomy places the organism in Eukaryota, Viridiplantae, Streptophyta, Magnoliopsida, Vitales, Vitaceae. The transcript has 2 exons. The record is from RefSeq and is a predicted model, not a curated record.
GUAUUAGCAGUACUAUUGGUUUGCAUCAGUUUUAUUGUAAGUAAUCAUUUGUGGAAUCAUUUUCUGCUUCACAGGUCCCUCUAAACAAUAUGUUUGGGUACUCAACAUCACUUCGUUCAAUGACUCAGGGGAAAGGUGAAUUCACAAUGGAAUACAAAGAGCAUUCACCGGUUUCUCAAGAUGUGCAGCUGCAAUUAGUGAACACCUACAAGGCCAAUAAGGCAGCUGAAAAUAGUUAGGAUUCUGCUGUGACUUUUUGAGGAACACGUCCCUACAUUCAUAGUGUAAGCCAUCUCUUAUUUUUUUAUAUUUAUCCGGGCCAAAAGUGUUCUGGUCUCUAAAUUUU